RNAcentral lists this ribosomal RNA (640 nucleotides) under Sphingobium yanoikuyae. Its description in RNAcentral is "bacterial SSU rRNA". It matches the Rfam family "Bacterial small subunit ribosomal RNA", at positions 91 to 766 of the family's 1533-position model. Lineage: Bacteria; Pseudomonadati; Pseudomonadota; Alphaproteobacteria; Sphingomonadales; Sphingobiaceae. The record is from RNAcentral.
UCUAGUGGCGCACGGGUGNGUAACGCGUGGGAAUCUGCCCUUGGGUUCGGAAUAACGUCGGGAAACUGACGCUAAUACCGGAUGAUGACGAAAGUCCAAAGAUUUAUCGCCCAGGGAUGAGCCCGCGUAGGAUUAGCUAGUUGGUGAGGUAAAGGCUCACCAAGGCUACGAUCCUUAGCUGGUCUGAGAGGAUGAUCAGCCACACUGGGACUGAGACACGGCCCAGACUCCUACGGGAGGCAGCAGUAGGGAAUAUUGGACAAUGGGGGCAACCCUGAUCCAGCAAUGCCGCGUGAGUGAUGAAGGCCUUAGGGUUGUAAAGCUCUUUUACCCGAGAUGAUAAUGACAGUAUCGGGAGAAUAAGCUCCGGCUAACUCCGUGCCAGCAGCCGCGGUAAUACGGAGGGAGCUAGCGUUGUUCGGAAUUACUGGGCGUAAAGCGCACGUAGGCGGCGAUUUAAGUCAGAGGUGAAAGCCCGGGGCUCAACCCCGGAACUGCCUUUGAGACUGGAUUGCUUGAAUCCUGGAGAGGUGAGUGGAAUUCCGAGUGUAGAGGUGAAAUUCGUAGAUAUUCGGAAGAACACCAGUGGCGAAGGCGGCUCACUGGACAGGUAUUGACGCUGAGGUGCGAAAGCGUGGGG